This 498-nucleotide ribosomal RNA is filed under the name uncultured bacterium. RNAcentral describes it as "partial 16S ribosomal RNA". It matches the Rfam family "Bacterial small subunit ribosomal RNA", at positions 30 to 523 of the family's 1533-position model. The record is from RNAcentral.
AUUGAACGCUGGCGGCAUGCCUUACACAUGCAAGUCGAACGGUAACAGGUCUUCGGAUGCUGACGAGUGGCGAACGGGUGAGUAAUACAUCGGAACGUGCCUAGUAGUGGGGGAUAACUACUCGAAAGAGUGGCUAAUACCGCAUGAGAUCUACGGAUGAAAGCAGGGGAUCGCAAGACCUUGCGCUACUAGAGCGGCCGAUGGCAGAUUAGGUAGUUGGUGGGUUAAAAGCUUACCAAGCCGACGAUCUGUAGCUGGUCUGAGAGGACGAUCAGCCACACUGGGACUGAGACACGGCCCAGACUCCUACGGGAGGCAGCAGUGGGGAAUUUUGGACAAUGGGCGAAAGCCUGAUCCAGCAAUGCCGCGUGCAGGAUGAAGGCCUUCGGGUUGUAAACUGCUUUUGUACGGAACGAAAAGCCCCGGGUUAAUACCCUGGGGUCAUGACGGUACCGUAAGAAUAAGCACCGGAUAACUACGUGCCAGCCGCCGCAGUAA